RNAcentral lists this ribosomal RNA (497 nucleotides) under uncultured bacterium. RNAcentral's name for it is "partial 16S ribosomal RNA". It matches the Rfam family "Bacterial small subunit ribosomal RNA", at positions 28 to 507 of the family's 1533-position model. The record is from RNAcentral.
GAUGAACGCUGGCGGCGUGCCUAAUACAUGCAAGUCGAGCGAACGGACGAGAAGCUUGCUUCUCUGAUGUUAGCGGCGGACGGGUGAGUAACACGUGGAUAACCUACCUAUAAGACUGAGAUAACUUCGGGAAACCGGAGCUAAUACCGGAUAAUAUUUUGAACCGCAUGGUUCAAAAGUGAAAGACGGUCUUGCUGUCACUUAUAGAUGGAUCCGCGCUGCAUUAGCUAGUUGGUAAGGUAACGGCUUACCAAGGCAACGAUGCAUAGCCGACCUGAGAGGGUGAUCGGCCACACUGGAACUGAGACACGGUCCAGACUCCUACGGGAGGCAGCAGUAGGGAAUCUUCCGCAAAGGGCGAAAGCCUGACGGAGCAACGCCGCGUGAGUGAUGAAGGUCUUCGGAUCGUAAAACUCUGUUAUUAGGGAAGAACAUAUGUGUAAGUAACUGUGCACAUCUUGACGGUACCUAAUCAGAAAGCCACGGCUAACUACGUG